This 71-nucleotide transfer RNA is filed under the name Ictidomys tridecemlineatus (thirteen-lined ground squirrel). RNAcentral's name for it is "Spermophilus tridecemlineatus (thirteen-lined ground squirrel) tRNA". It matches the Rfam family "tRNA". Rfam says of the family: Transfer RNA (tRNA) molecules are approximately 80 nucleotides in length. Their secondary structure includes four short double-helical elements and three loops (D, anti-codon, and T loops). The record is from Rfam by way of RNAcentral. Lineage: Eukaryota; Metazoa; Chordata; Mammalia; Rodentia; Sciuridae.
GUGGUUGUGGCUCAGUGGCAGAGCGCUUGCCUAGCAUGUGUGAGGCACUGGGUUCAAUUCUCAGCACCACG